GCUGAGUGCGUAAGGAAUUAAUGCGCUAGACACAGUGCUGCAUAUGGACACCAUAAGUAAUGUGUACAUUUGAGCGAGGUGAGCAUAGGAGGACGUGGUUGUACGCAGGUCAAUGCAAGUAGAAAUGCAUUUUGAAUGCACAAUGAAUGUGGCAGGUGGCUGGGUAUUUCACAGGUGCUUGUGGCAUGUGGUUCACGAGAAGACCAUGUGGGAGCACGUUGGUGUUUGG
Molecule: long non-coding RNA, 229 nt
Filed under: Elaeis guineensis (African oil palm)
Lineage: Eukaryota; Viridiplantae; Streptophyta; Magnoliopsida; Arecales; Arecaceae
Description: long non-coding RNA (EGUI_LNC063347)
Source: RNAcentral